AUCGUGUAAUAUUGUUACAACAUACUUACUAAAAUGUACAGUUGCCACCCAAUGCAUUUAUUAAAAAAAUACUAGAUUUUUGCAGUAAACACAGUUAUGCCGUUGAAAUUGUGCUUAUGGCUCGCUAAAUGAAAAGUAAAAUAGUGUAAAAACUCGUUUGUGAGUUAAAACUGUCUAGUGGCAGGGCGAUAUGGCUUUAGUCCAACAAUACUUUAUUAGCCUUCUUCUUACAGUAUCUAAGCUAACUGUGGCACCUGCAGCAUGUUGUUAGGAAACAAUUUCGUUUCCGGAAAUAUGACAGCAAUUAAUUGAACAUAAGUUUAAAUAUUGUACUUUAUAAACUUAUAGAAUUAUGUACAGAUAUUUCUACAAUAAAAUGAUUUAAAAUCUG
Molecule: long non-coding RNA, 391 nt
Organism: Tribolium madens (black flour beetle)
Lineage: Eukaryota; Metazoa; Arthropoda; Insecta; Coleoptera; Tenebrionidae
Exons: 2
Source: RefSeq, a predicted model, not a curated record